UACGUAGGGUGCAAGCGUUGUCCGGAAUUAUUGGGCGUAAAGAGCGUGUAGGCGGCCUCGUUAGUCCGCUGUGAAAGUCCAGGGCUCAACCCUGGAAUGCCGGUGGAUACUGCGAGGCUAGAGUCCGGAAGGGGCGAGUGGAAUUCCUGGUGUAGCGGUGAAAUGCGCAGAUAUCAGGAGGAACACCAAUGGCGAAGGCAGCUCGCUGGGACGUGACUGACGCUGAGACGCGAAAGCGUGGGGAGCAAACAGG
This 253-nucleotide ribosomal RNA is filed under the name uncultured bacterium. Its description in RNAcentral is "partial 16S ribosomal RNA". It matches the Rfam family "Bacterial small subunit ribosomal RNA", at positions 524 to 776 of the family's 1533-position model. The record is from RNAcentral.